Molecule: ribosomal RNA, 253 nt
Filed under: uncultured bacterium
Lineage: Bacteria
Description: partial 16S ribosomal RNA
Rfam family: Bacterial small subunit ribosomal RNA
Source: RNAcentral
UACGUAGGGUGCAAGCGUUGUCCGGAAUUAUUGGGCGUAAAGAGCUCGUAGGCGGUCUGUCACGUCGGACGUGAAAAUCCAGGGCUCAACCCUGGACCUGCGUUCGAUACGGGCAGACUAGAGUUCGGUAGGGGAGACUGGAAUUCCUGGUUUAGCGGUGAAAUGCGCAGAUAUCAGGAGGAACACCGGUGGCGAAGGCGGGUCUCUGGGCCGAAACUGACGCUGAGGAGCGAAAGCCAGGGGAGCAAACGGG